RNAcentral lists this ribosomal RNA (726 nucleotides) under uncultured haloarchaeon. RNAcentral's name for it is "bacterial SSU rRNA". It matches the Rfam family "Archaeal small subunit ribosomal RNA", at positions 10 to 738 of the family's 1478-position model. The record is from RNAcentral. Lineage: Archaea; Methanobacteriati; Methanobacteriota; Halobacteria; Halobacteriales; Halobacteriaceae.
GAUCCUGCCGGAGGCCAUUGCUAUCGGAGUCCGAUUUAGCCAUGCUAGUUGUGCGGGUUUAGACCCGCAGCGGAAAGCUCAGUAACACGUGGCCAAGCUACCCUGUGGACGGGAAUACUCUCGGGAAACUGAGGCUAAUCCCCGAUAACGCUUUGCUCCUGGAAGGGGCAAAGCCGGAAACGCUCCGGCGCCACAGGAUGCGGCUGCGGUCGAUUAGGUAGACGGUGGGGUAACGGCCCACCGUGCCCAUAAUCGGUACGGGUUGUGAGAGCAAGAGCCCGGAGACGGAAUCUGAGACAAGAUUCCGGGCCCUACGGGGCGCAGCAGGCGCGAAACCUUUACACUGUACGAAAGUGCGAUAAGGGGACUCCGAGUGUGAAGGCAUAGAGCCUUCACUUUUGUACACCGUAAGGUGGUGCACGAAUAAGGACUGGGCAAGACCGGUGCCAGCCGCCGCGGUAAUACCGGCAGUCCGAGUGAUGGCCGAUCUUAUUGGGCCUAAAGCGUCCGUAGCUGGCUGAACAAGUCCGUUGGGAAAUCUGUCCGCUUAACGGGCAGGCGUCCAGCGGAAACUGUUCAGCUUGGGACCGGAAGACCUGAGGGGUACGUCUGGGGUAGGAGUGAAAUCCUGUAAUCCUGGACGGACCGCCGGUGGCGAAAGCGCCUCAGGAGACGGAUCCGACAGUGAGGGACGAAAGCUAGGGUCUCGAACCGGAUUAAAUACCC